AGAGCACUCCCUCCGUCCCAAAAUUUUUGUCUUAGAUUUGUCUAAAUACGGAUAUAUCAAGUCACAUUUUAGUAUUAGAUACAUAUGUAUGUAGACAAAUCUAGGACAAGAUUUUUUGGAUGGAGGAAGUAACAU
Non-coding RNA from Triticum aestivum (bread wheat), 135 nucleotides. The record is from Rfam. Lineage: Eukaryota; Viridiplantae; Streptophyta; Magnoliopsida; Poales; Poaceae.